GUAAGGCGGUGUCGGUGGCGUUAGAGCGUGAAGUCUGUACGCUCAUCUCACGUUUCAGAUCCCUGCUGAAGACGGCCUCUGAAAAAGGCUCAUUCAUUUAUUUGUUUCACAGCUGGAUGUCGAACCAAGGGCUUUGCACCUGCUAGGCAAGCACUCUACUACUGAAAGCCCAAACUUGGCUUGUCCUCUUUAAUUUCUUACUCUCCUUAUGAAUUCCUGGCUCUGACCCUUUAUCCGCAUUCCACUUACUUCCAGGGGUGCUGGGAUUACAGGCUUGCAACGCCAUGACCGGUGCCUGCUCAGUGCAGGCCGGAUGGUGAGCCAGCACCGCACACUGGGGGUUGAACCCCGCGCGCUGAGCCUGCCUAAGCAGGUGCUUUAGUCCGCUGAGCUAUCUGGCCAGCCCUGAAAGGACAGUUUCUGAUACCAGAUUCAAUUGAACAAUGGAAGUAAAAAAGACAGUGGACUCAUAAGGUUUUUCAGAAUCAUGCAUGAUUAAUAAGUAAUGAUGAUUAAUGGUAAUCAUCAACUUAGAAUUAGAUAUCAGGCAAAAUUAUCUGUCAAGAGUGAGGGUGAAGUACAGAAAUGAAAUAAUUUUCAGAUUUAUAGAAACUGAAUUUAAUAUCUACAUAUAUUUUCAAAAAUAAUUUUAAAGGAUCUUUCCUUUGCAGAAUAAAAAUCAGCCUAGAAGAAAAAUCUGAAACAUAAAAAAUGAUUUGCACAUUACAUAAGAUAACACCAAAUAGCAAAAGUAUGUAGGUCAAGAGGUGGAUGACAAAAGCUAAAGAUUUCUGAGGUUUCUCUUUAGAGUGAAGGCAUAAGUUAACACUAAGAUAAGUGUGCAAGGCAAAGUUCCAAGGUAACCACUAAAACAACUGUAUAAUUUCCAGUCCAGCUGUAAGAGGAAAAAUGGACAAAAGGGAAAAUUAAACAGAACUUAAACAAAA
This is a long non-coding RNA of Octodon degus (degu), 947 nucleotides long. RefSeq lists it as uncharacterized. The record is from RefSeq and is a predicted model, not a curated record. The transcript has 2 exons. Lineage: Eukaryota; Metazoa; Chordata; Mammalia; Rodentia; Octodontidae.